RNAcentral lists this long non-coding RNA (841 nucleotides) under Homo sapiens (human). RNAcentral describes it as "HSALNT0081745". The record is from RNAcentral. Lineage: Eukaryota; Metazoa; Chordata; Mammalia; Primates; Hominidae.
GGCUCGGUCCUUCGUGCCGUCCUCCCCGCUGGGAGGGGCAGCUCCAGCUCCGCUCGGCUCGCUCCGCCCGGCCACACCGGCUUUUUCCCCAUCAGGCGGUCCGAGUGCGGCUCCUCGCGAGCCUGCAAAGGAGCAGCAGGCGGUUCCUUUUCGGACGACCUGGAGCGAGGCCUGCGGGACUGCGCGCCCCGGCGGGCGGCGUGCGGCUCCCGGCAUGCGCGGCGGCUGCGUUCCCGCCGCCUCCGAGCUCGCCUGGGGCUGCCGCCCGCCUCCUGCCGGGCCCUCGGGCUCGCCCGGCACCGCGGGGCUUGAUCAGGGAGAUAUUUUAGUACAACAUCUUUUCAUCACAGAAAUGAUAUCUUCAGGGAAAAGACUUCGAAAAAGUGCCUGAAGUGACACAACACAUGUUUUCUUCUGGUAUCUGGCUAAGGCCUUCUCUUCUAAGCAGCAUAAACUACUGCUGCCUACAUGUUGCCUGUUCAUAAAGGCUGAGGCAGGGGAGUCGCUUGAACUCGGGAGGCGGAGGUUGCAGUGAGCCGAGAUCAUGCCAUUUCCCUCCGGAAAUGAUCAGAGGCUCACCUGAACUAUUAUCCAUCCAAAAGUGGGAUUCAAAGAAGGAAGAGGGCCUAGAAAUGAGAAAGAAGCGAAAAAUAUGUUUGUUGAAAGGUCAACAUGGGUGUUUGGAAGAGGUAAUGCUAAUGAGGUAUUCGUAAAAUUGGAGCACAAAUACUGGAUCCUGGGAUGAAUUUGGACUAAGCACCUGCAGAUUUCCUUUUCAAUUGAAAUGAGAAUUUCUGUCUGUGUUCUUCAUGCUUGUUAUACUGGAAAAAGUUUGCUUACG